CAAGGGGUGCCCCUUGGGCGAGAAGAAACAAUCGCAAACUCGUGGCCUGACGGACAGAAACCUAAUACUAAGGCGUAUCAAGCGGAUAAGCAGGCAAAAGGCAGUGAAGAUCCAAAAUGCAAUCGUAACCUUGAUGCGUAAAUUAGGCAGGUAAACGAUGAAAGAUGUAAGG
Non-coding RNA from Porphyromonas sp. HMSC065F10, 172 nucleotides. Lineage: Bacteria; Pseudomonadati; Bacteroidota; Bacteroidia; Bacteroidales; Porphyromonadaceae. The record is from Rfam.